CCUACGGGAGACAGCAGUAGGGAAUAUUGCACAAUGAGGGAAACCCUGAUGCAGCGACGCCGCGUGGAGGAUGAAGGUUUUCGGAUUGUAAAGUCCUGUUGUUAGGGAAGAUAAUGACGGUAUCUAACGAAUAAGCACCGGCUAACUCCGUGCCAGCAACCGCGGUAAUACGGAGGGUGCAAGCGUUAAUCGGAAUUACUGGGGGUAAAGGGCGCGGAGGCGGGAUUGCAAGUCAGGUGUGAAAUCCCAUGGCUUAACCCUAGGACUGCAUUUGAAACUGUCCUUCUAGAGUAUGGGAGAGGUAGGUGGAAUUCCUGGUGUAGCGGUAAAAUGCGUAGAUAUAAAGAGGAACACUCAUGGCGAAGGCGACCUGCUAGAACAUAACUGACGCUGAUGCGCGAAAGCGUGGGGAGCAAACAGGAUUAGAUACCCGAGUAGUC
RNAcentral lists this ribosomal RNA (440 nucleotides) under uncultured bacterium. Its description in RNAcentral is "partial 16S ribosomal RNA". It matches the Rfam family "Bacterial small subunit ribosomal RNA", at positions 338 to 795 of the family's 1533-position model. The record is from RNAcentral.